Molecule: long non-coding RNA, 6457 nt
Filed under: Mytilus galloprovincialis (Mediterranean mussel)
Lineage: Eukaryota; Metazoa; Mollusca; Bivalvia; Mytilida; Mytilidae
Source: RNAcentral
GGAAAAUAUAAAUGGCGGACAGGUGACAAGAAAGUUCGUAAAAAGUAAAUUUAUUGUUUUAUUCAAAAGUUGUACAUUAUUUAAAAGGAUAAGGGUCUUCAUCAGCUACUGUAGCAUUUAAAGGUUAAUUGUCGAUUGUUUAAUUCAUUUUAUAGCUUGAAUUUAUAUCUAACCUAGAUAUUGCGAGUGUGAAAGUUUAAAAAAAAAAUGUAUUGAUCUGUGACUGUGAAGCAAUUCCAACAUGUUUUGAAAAACGAAGGAAGCAAACCAAAAUAUUUGUAAGUAGACGCACACAGUGUUUGUUGUUAUCCAUGUGUGACAAAAGAAAAUCAAUCUACAGACUUUUUUGGGUUUAAAUAGGGGGCUUGGUGUCUAUUUACACAAUAAAUAAAGGUCCAGUUCGGCAGUUGAUUUUUUGCAAAACUAUGUUCUCUCCUGUUCAGUUCAUGGUUGCUCACUGUUACGAUAUAACAAUUUUCAUAUUAAAUAAAGGUUUAAUUGUAAUUAAGUUAGUGUAAGGCCAAAAAUAUAUAUACAUAUAUGUCUGUUUACCAUAAUUUACCUGACCUGACCCUAUUUUGAGCGCCGACCCUUAGUCAUUUUAUUUCAGUCGUAAAGUGAAAAAUAAACUGAACUCUUGUUAAAAGUGAAGAUAGUGUUGCCUGAUACAUCCAAUUGUUCAUAAUCAUGAAUAUGAUAGCUGUUUUAAGGAAAUUCGUGACUCGUGUGAUGAAAUAAACAUUUUGCCGCCAUUUUUUCCAAACAAUAUUAACGGGAAAUAAUCCAAUCAUUAAAAAUACAGGUAAACUCGGCCCAUGGACAACUCGGACCACGGCGAGAUGGACCGCACAACUCAAAAUCAUGGCGCAAAAAAUAAAAUGGAAAUACCAACCUACCAACCCUAUUUAUUUUGAUGAUGUACAUGUAACCUUAAACAGACAAAUAUUUUUUUUUGGCCUAAUGUUUAAUAACAAAAACAAGUUUUGUCUUCAUUGUUUCAAAAUAAAGUUAUCUACUUAAAAUGUAAGCGGCAAAAUGUAGUAGGUUUCCUCGUAUUUGUGAGAUAUUUUGACAAAAUAAAUCAUGGAUAUAUUCAUGAUGAUCAAUGGACAAGGGCAAGUUCAUUCAUCUAAGACAUGAUAAAACGUUACUAGAAAUAUUAAGGGUAACUUCACUAAAGCUAUAGUUAUAAUAACAAUAAUUUUUAAACACAACAAUAAUACCAAAAUUUGGCAAAAAUGGGGUGCAAAGGUGUUGAUAUAGGGGGGGGGGGGGGGGGGGGUGCUAGGAGGGGUCCCUAUCCCAAAAUCCUGGUCUUAAAAACAUGAAAUCCUGAUGUCCCCAAUUAAAUUUAAUUUAAAUUCAGUCAUCCCGUAAUUCGAAAAAGAAUACCUGGAUCCCGAAAGGGUAAAUCCUGAGCUUAAUAACACCCGAUCCCGGAGUCCCAAUAAAGGUCCUAUCUACAUCAAUAUAGGAGCGAAUGGGCCAAAUAACUUGGAAGUUUUGUGCUUUUUUAAAGUCAUCAGUCUUGAUUUUAACAUGUUCAGAUUUCAGAAUUGAAGACUUAUUAUGCAACUUAUAAUAUUGAGUUUUUAUGAUUUGCAGAUUAUGCACCAUUUUAAUAUUUUCCUUUAAGAUUGAAAAAGAGUGGUUGAACAGCUACAUGUUCAUCUGCAUGUAUUUAAUUUGAAAUAUAUAUAUACACACUUGCUUAAACAUAAAGUACCUUUGUAAAUCAAGAUCUAUAAUGAACCAGAUUACCAUAUAUGAAUUAAUGUGGUUAGAUAAUAUAUCAAAUUUAAGCAGUUACAUGAUAUGUAAUUACAGGUAGGAAAGUAUUGUCAGUUUUUUAUGCAACUGAAAGUGCUUUGUUGUAUACUCUCCAAUAUACAAUGAUAUAGGAGGCUAAUAACAAAAAAUACAAGCUGUGUAUUGACAUCAAAGUGGAUUCCGAUACUUAUUUGGAAUACUUCAUGAAUUGUUUCUUUUUCUUUCCUAAGGCAAUUUUGAGGACAAGAAAUGUUGAUUGAGUUGUGUGAUAAGGUGUCUGUUUAAUUAUUUAAUAUAACACCUCUGAUAAUAUAUAAUUGACCUUAAAUUAGUAUCUUGAAGUUGUUGAAAUAAAGAAAUGAUAGAUUUACUUAUUACAUUUGAUCCACAUGACUAACAAUUAUUCUGUAAAUUAUGUGUCAAAGAUGUAUGAUAAAGGACUAAUAAAAAUGCCAGGAAGGUCAAUUUUACUUGAAAAAUCAAGUGUCAUAAUCAUCUUAUGAAUUAAAAUCAAUAAGGUAGAUUUAUAUUAAAAGUUACUAUUAAUAUUAACUUGCUUGAAACAAUAAACAAUUAUGAACUACACUAACCUGAGCUUUUUCUACAAUAUGUACUACAAAUUUUUGUGUGAAUUUUUUAUUGCGUUCCAUUCUUUUCGUUGUAUAAAAUAUAUUUUUUCAGAAACAAAUGUAUUUUAGAAUUAAAAAAAAAUCUGUUGUCACUGAACGAAAACUAUGUUAUUCUUUUAUGUAGCAUAAUCAAAACAUGAGUCCAGUUAGAAAUGACUGGACCUCAUCAAGUUUUACUGAAUAUAUGUGCCAAUCUCAGAUAAACUUUCUUUAUAACCUUUGUUUGUUUUGUACCAGUUCUAGAUCUAUUAUUAGUUAGAACUGGACUUGUGUCAUUUCACUCUGAACUAAUUUUAAACAAGGUUUACAACUUGAAGAAUAGAGGUUAAAAGGUUAAGUUUACUCCCAGUAAACAGAACCUAUUGUAUUCAUUAUCAAUACCCUGAUGUUUGUAUCACAGAUUUAUAUAAUAGAUUAUUUAACUUAACAGUCUCAAGUUUAUUUUGAAACUUUUGAUAGUCUAUAUGUUCAGUUUACCAAAAAUGAUAGAACUUUAUAAAAUUUGUAGAUAUAUGUACAUGUAAGCUUAAGGUGGACUAUUUUCAUUUGUAAGUAUUUAAAAAUAAAACCUGUAACCUUUUUAAUAACACAGUGGUUUUGGUAAUUUAUGUCAUUGGCAAUGUCAGAUUAUGUCAAUAUACAUGUAGUCUUGUUCUAUAAUGAUAAUGUACUGGAUAUUCAUUAUUAUUCAUUGGAAACCAAUUUUCAGGGGUUUCGUGGGUACAGGUGAACCACAAAUUCAAAUGCUCAAUGAAUUAAAUAUCUUUAAAAAUCUUUGAACACAUGUACAGCAAUGUACUGCUGAGAUUGGCAAAACCAUGAAAUCAAAUAUUUACUGAAUUUUCGGCUCUCCCUUGACACCAUUUGCGAGUAUGGUCUUGAGGAAACGAUGAUAGUCCGUCGGAAGGGGACGAUAAAUGGCUGACCCGUGUUAAGAGAGAGCCAUAUCUCUUGCACGUUAGAGACACCCUUGUAGAUUUCGAAAAAGAGCAGGCUAAUGCCGCUACAAGGCAGCACUCGCAACCGCUAAGUGGAAAGGGAUUAAUAUAAGUUGCAAAACUUGUUUCCCGAUCCACUAUAAAUAAAUAUGUUUAAAUUAAAUAUUCAUGAAAUUGCAACAUUUGUUAUUGGGCAAGCUGAAGGACGCCUCUGGGUGCGUGAGUUUCUCACUGCAUUGAAGACAUAUUGGUGACCUUCUGCUGUUGUCUGUUCUAUGGUCGGGUUGUUGUCUCUUUGACACAUUCCCCAUUUCCGUUUUCAAUUUUAAGUUUUCAGCAAUGAAAUAAAAUAUCCACGAAUAUGCAAGUUUUCAGCAAUGCACGAAAAUUUAUUCCCAUGAAAAUAAAUGCAUCCACAGACUACAGUAUACAUGGUAUAUAUAAAUGUCCUUAUUAAUAUUUAUACUCUGAAAGUUAAACGUCUCUUCUCUCUCUCUUGAUUGAUGAUUGCUUUACGCCACCUCAGCAUAAAUUGGCUAUAUAACAUUGAGUCUUCUACAUAGAUAUGAACAUGUAUAAAAUCUAUACAUUACAAUCUUUAUUUUCCAUCAUAUUGUAUCAUAAAGGAACUCAAUAUUCAUUUUUCCUUUAUUUUUUUUAUUUUUUUUUUAAUGUUUUAUACAUUAUUUAUAAUGUUUUGGUUUUCUUGGAAAACUUGUUGUUUUAGUUGAGUAUGAAAUGUGUUGGUUAAAAGCUGACUAUAUAUAGUUAGAGUUUAUUAUUUUGUGUUUGUUUGAUUUGUACCAUGCCAACUCCAAGUAAAACUUAUUAAAUAUUAUUAUUUAUUUACAAUAUUUUAUGGUUGCUUUUGCGGGAACAAUUCAAUUGUUGAUAAUAGGAAAUUAUUAAUUAACUGAGGUAAUCAAUGAAUUGGCUAUUUAUCAGUGCAAACCGGGAGACUCUGUUUCUUACAGAUAAUACCCUGACAACUAUUUAGAUUGGUUGUUCAUAAAAAGUUAUUAAAUUAUUAAUGAUUUCAGUCUUUUGAUACUUCGACACAGUGCCUGUAGAUUAACAAUUGAUUCUAACUGUGAUUAAUUCUGAAGUAGAAAGGUCUUUCAACUCUAAUAAGACAUACAAGUUUUUCAAUUGAAGCGUUUCAUUCCCUGAAUAGAAUAUUUGAUUGAACGCUCAGUUGUAGUUCUUUAUGUUAGACGUGCUGGAGAUUCUACAUUAAUACUUUAACUUUAAUUGAAUUCAAGAAAGAUGUAUUAACAGUCCUACAUAUAACUUUUAUUGUAAAGGUUUGAUUGGGGUCAGAUAUACAGUUGCUCUUUCAGACAUUUGUAUUCCCCUCGCUCAUUUUAAUUUGUAAUAUGCUCAUUGAGGUGAAUGUCAUCAACAAGCAAUUUUUUUACCAUUUGGACAAACUCCUCAGGACUUCAGCGUAUUAUCUUUUUAAGCCCCUCGUACCCUUAGUAAGCCUAUCAGUUCUGUGGAUCAGUUCAUUAGAGCCCUCAACAAGAUUUUUGGCUCCAUAGGGAUAUCCAUACAUCCUGAAGACCUGUAAAUUCAUGUGUAUCUUUCUGAACAACUCACUGACUUUUAAAAAGAAUUGUCCUCACCUUCAGAUUUUAUGGUUAUUAUUUGACUUUAAUAUACCUACAAGCAGUUAUUUCCCUUUAGAACAAUAGGUCAUCUUUUGAAGAAACAGCCUGGAUGAUACCUAGUUCUUUAUUUAUCCCAACUCAAAUGCAAUGAUAAAGCAAUUGAUUCAUCAUAUAGAAGCCUUGUGUUGUUGCCAAUAGGGCAUUUUCUGCACUAUUUUCCAUCUUCAAUAUUCUUGUAAGGUUUGAGACAGAAACAAUCCAAUCUUUAUAGGUUGAAAUCUAAAGUCAAACUAGAACCAGAAAACAUCUUUAUGGCACAAUUUAACCUUUGAAACAAAUAACUUGAAGUUCUGCUAAUUUAUCACUUCAAUAAAGAGGGGGGAAGGACCUUUUCAGGACUCCUGGAUUGGAUGUUUUUAAGCUCAGGAUGUCGGGAUUGAUCCUUUCGGGAUGCGUGAAUUUUUUUUUUCGAUUUCGGGGUUGGCAGGAUUUAAAUUUCUUAAAAUUCGAGACCUCAGGAUUUCAUGUUUUUACGUCUGGAUUUUGGAUCAGGACCGCUCCCUAUUAAAGGGAAAAUUAUAUGAGAUAAAGUUAAAUAAUAUUCUGUUCUGAUUUUCAGUCUUUUAGGAAAAGUGUAUUGCCAGGCAAAAGAGAGAAAACAAUUUUAAGCUUGGUUUAAAUGGUUGGUGUGGAAAAUGGUAGUGGUCAUAAAUAGUUACAUAUAACAUAGAUUGCUAUCUGGCAAUAUGAAAAACUCAAUUAAAAUGCACUAGGAAAAAACUGGAACCGUAUUUGGCUAAAGAACUAUUGAUUGAACCUGUAUCUUUAAUACCAGGGUUUAUAAUGUACUUUUUUUUAUAUACUUUUACAGAAUGUCGGAAUGUUACACGCAGUGUGGCUAGACUAUAAUACAUGAUAUGUGAUGAACAAGUACGAAAUAUUAGGAGUCGUAGGCGAAGGUAUGUAAUUUGAAAGAUUGAAAGAUUUAGAGAUGAAGACAGUCUUGACCUCAUAGUUAAGGUGAUCAUGUUAAGUUUUUGUGAUUAGGUCAGUUUUUCAGAUACUAUAAGUAAUAUUAGAUGUCUUUGAUGAAUAAAAUGAAUGUAAUUCGUAAACGUCCAUCUGACAGAGUUGACCUUAUUUUCACCGUUCAUUGGUCAAUGUAAUUAAAUCUGUUUCUCAGAUGCUCUAAGUAAUAGCUAUAUUUGAUAAGAAUGAUUAUAAUGUGUAAUUGUCUGUCUCACAGGAUAAAUACAACCUUGACCUUAUUUCAUGGAUAACUUCUAAUAUAAAGUUAUUCCUGUUGUAAGACUUUGAUUUGAAAAAAAGUCAUAGUAAAACUAAAUCAUAAUCAGUAAAGUAACCUAGUCUAUAUAUUUCAGCAUGUGCACUCUUACUUUUUUUGUUAUUAUGGAAAUUGUAUUUUUAUGGUUUCCUCUGAAUUGGUAAUAUAUUGGUUAACUUAUUGUUGUAGGAGCCUACGGAGUGGUACUGAAAUGUCGUCACAAGG